Molecule: ribosomal RNA, 468 nt
Filed under: uncultured bacterium
Lineage: Bacteria
Description: partial 16S ribosomal RNA
Rfam family: Bacterial small subunit ribosomal RNA
Source: RNAcentral
GACGAACGCUGGCGGCGUGCUUAACACAUGCAAGUCGAACGGAAAGGCCCUGCUUUUGUGGGGUGCUCGAGUGGCGAACGGGUGAGUAACACGUGAGUAACCUGCCCUUGACUUUGGGAGGACUUCAGGAAACUGGGGCUAAUACCGGAUAGGAGCUCCUGCUGCAUGGUGGGGGUUGGAAAGUUUCGGCGGUUGGGGAUGGACUCGCGGCUUAUCAGCUUGUUGGUGGGGUAGUGGCUUAGCAAGGCCUUGACGGGUAGCCGGCGUGAGAGGGUGACCGGCAACAUUGGGACUGGGAUACGGCCCAGACUCCUACGCGAGGCAGCAGUGGGGAAGAGUGCAAAAUGGGCGGAAGCCUGAGGCAGCAACGCCGCGUGCGGGAUGACGGCCUACGGGUUGUAAACCGAUUUCGCCUGUGACGGAGAGGGUAUGACGGUAACGGGUAAAGAAGCACCGGCUAACUACGUG